CGCGUGGGUAAUCUACCCUUGAAUUGGGGAUAACAUCGCGAAAGCGAUGCUAAUACCGAAUAAUAUCUUAAAAAACCCUGGUUAUUAAGAUCAAAAGUGGCCUCUACUUGUAAGCUACUGUUUGAGGAUGAGCCCGCGUACCAUUAGCUUGUUGGUAGGGUAAUGGCCUACCAAGGCUACGAUGGUUAGCUGGUCUGAGAGGAUGAUCAGCCACACUGGAACUGACACACGGUCCAG
RNAcentral lists this ribosomal RNA (237 nucleotides) under uncultured bacterium. RNAcentral's name for it is "partial 16S ribosomal RNA". It matches the Rfam family "Bacterial small subunit ribosomal RNA", at positions 114 to 334 of the family's 1533-position model. The record is from RNAcentral.